Molecule: ribosomal RNA, 1457 nt
Filed under: Escherichia coli B85
Lineage: Bacteria; Pseudomonadati; Pseudomonadota; Gammaproteobacteria; Enterobacterales; Enterobacteriaceae
Description: partial 23S ribosomal RNA
Source: RNAcentral
UCAUAAUGUCUACAGUUCGGCGCUGAUGACAAUUAACCAGGCGUUUUUCCAGGUGGUGUCGAUGGCGACAACCGCCGGGUUUACGACUGACAGCAUUGCCCGCUGGCCGCUCUUUUUGCCGGUACUGCUUUUAUGUUCAGCUUUUAUCGGCGGUUGUGCCGGGUCAACGGGCGGUGGCCUGAAAGUGAUCCGCAUCCUGCUGCUGUUUAAGCAGGGGAACCGUGAACUGAAACGACUGGUGCAUCCGAACGCCGUCUAUAGCAUUAAGCUGGGGAAUCGCGCACUGCCGGAACGUAUCCUCGAAGCCGUUUGGGGAUUUUUCUCCGCCUAUGCAUUGGUGUUUAUUGUCAGUAUGCUGGCGAUUAUCGCCACGGGCGUGGAUGACUUUUCUGCCUUUGCCUCGGUUGUUGCGACAUUGAAUAACCUGGGGCCAGGGCUUGGCGUGGUUGCUGAUAACUUUACCAGUAUGAACCCGGUGGCUAAAUGGAUCCUGAUUGCCAACAUGCUGUUUGGUCGUCUCGAGGUCUUUACAUUGCUGGUGCUCUUUACCCCGACUUUCUGGCGUGAAUGAUGGAGUAAUACGUGAAAACAUUAAUUCUUUUCUCAACAAGGGACGGACAAACGCGCGAGAUUGCCUCCUACUUGGCUUCGGAACUGAAAGAACUGGGGAUCCAGGCGGAUGUCGCCAAUGUGCACCGCAUUGAAGAACCACAGUGGGAAAACUACGACCGUGUGGUCAUUGGUGCUUCUAUUCGCUAUGGUCACUACCACUCUGCGUUCCAGGAAUUUGUCAAAAAGCAUGCGACGCGGCUGAAUUCGAUGCCGAGCGCGUUUUACUCCGUAAACCUGGUGGCGCGUAAACCGGAGAAGCGCACUCCACAGACCAACAGCUACGCGCGGAAGUUUCUGAUGAACUCGCAAUGGCGUCCCGAUCGCUGCGCGGUCAUUGCCGGGGCGCUGCGUUACCCACGUUAUCGCUGGUACGACCGUUUUAUGAUCAAGCUGAUUAUGAAGAUGUCAGGCGGUGAAACGGAUACGCGCAAAGAAGUUGUCUAUACCGAUUGGGAGCAGGUGGCGAAUUUCGCCCGAGAAAUCGCCCAUUUAACCGACAAACCGACGCUGAAAUAAGCAUAAAGAAUAAAAAAUGCGCGGUCAGAAAAUUAUUUUAAAUUUCCCCUUGUCAGGCCGGAAUAACUCCCUAUAAUGCGCCACCACUGACACGGAACAACGGCAAACACGCCGCCGGGUCAGCGGGAUUCUCCUGAGAAUUCCGGCAGAGAAAGCAAAAAUAAAUGCUUGACUCUGUAGCGGGAAAGCGUAAUAUACGCCACCUCGCGACAGUGAGCUGAAAGCCGCGUCGCAACUGCUCUUUAACAAUUUAUCAGACAAUCUGUGUGGGCACUCGAAGAUACGGAUUCUUAACGUCGCAAGACGAAAAAUGAAUACCAAGUCUCAAG